This is a long non-coding RNA of Homo sapiens (human), 3211 nucleotides long. The record is from Ensembl. Lineage: Eukaryota; Metazoa; Chordata; Mammalia; Primates; Hominidae.
UCUGGGCUGGCUGUGGGAGGCUCCCGAGGUGGGGACCCGGCCGGGAUGGCUGCAGCGGCGGCCGGGGCUGGGAGCGGGCCCUCGGCGGCCCAGGAGAAGCAGUUCCUGCCGGCGCUGCUGAGUUUCUUCAUCUACAACCCGCGCUUCUGGCCGCGGGAAGGAGAGAAAUUUGUUUCAAUGAAGAAACUGUGGUAUACACACCCAAUGAAGUAUUAUUCAGCCUAAAAAGGAAGAAACUCCUCUCCGCUGCAGACAAAAUGGAUGAGAUUGCAGACCUCCCAGUGCCAAGUGUAUAAGCGUGUCCAGAAUUGGUGGGUCUCACUGACUUCAAGAAUGAAGCCGCGGACCCUCCUGGUGAGUGUUACACUUCUUAAAGUUGGCGUGUCUGGAGUUUUUUCCUUCUGAUGUUCGGAUGUGUUCGAAGCUUCUUCCUUCUGGUGGGGUUCGUGGUCUCGCUGGCUCAGGAGUGAAGCUGCAGACCUUCACGCCUCUGCCUCAGUCUCCUCUUCUGGAAAGUGGGAUUGGAAACCACAUCUGCUUCUCUCCCAGGACUGCUAGGCAGACAAGAUUAGAUGGCAGGAAGGAAAAUACAUGUACAGCCAACUUCCUUGAGGGUUCGUUCUUUUGCAUCAGGGUGUCUCAAACUGCUGCCCUUAAAACACCUGUAAGAGAAUCAUCCAGGCGGCUUGCUCACUCUGCAUGCAGGCCCUUUAGAAUGAGAGUCAGAAUCCCUGGGGCUGGAGCCACAAAAUGAAAUGACAUUUCAACGAGUUUGUCAUCAUGUGAGAGAGAAUAGGAGCCAGGUCGGUAUAAGCGCCAGCGGCCUCGCCGCCCGUCAAGCUGUCCACAUCCCUGGCCUCAGCCCGCCACAUCACCCUGACCUGCUUACGCCCAGAUUUUCUUCAAUCACAUCUGAAUAAAUCACUUGAAGAAAGCUUAUAGCUUCAUUGCACCAUGUGUGGCAUUUGGGCGCUGUUUGGCAGUGAUGAUUGCCUUUCUGUUCAGUGUCUGAGUGCUAUGAAGAUUGCACACAGAGGUCCAGAUGCAUUCCGUUUUGAGAAUGUCAAUGGAUACACCAACUGCUGCUUUGGAUUUCACCGGUUGGCGGUAGUUGACCCGCUGUUUGGAAUGCAGCCAAUUCGAGUGAAGAAAUAUCCGUAUUUGUGGCUCUGUUACAAUGGUGAAAUCUACAACCAUAAGAAGAUGCAACAGCAUUUUGAAUUUGAAUACCAGACCAAAGUGGAUGGUGAGAUAAUCCUUCAUCUUUAUGACAAAGGAGGAAUUGAGCAAACAAUUUGUAUGUUGGAUGGUGUGUUUGCAUUUGUUUUACUGGAUACUGCCAAUAAGAAAGUGUUCCUGGGUAGAGAUACAUAUGGAGUCAGACCUUUGUUUAAAGCAAUGACAGAAGAUGGAUUUUUGGCUGUAUGUUCAGAAGCUAAAGGUCUUGUUACAUUGAAGCACUCCGCGACUCCCUUUUUAAAAGUGGAGCCUUUUCUUCCUGGACACUAUGAAGUUUUGGAUUUAAAGCCAAAUGGCAAAGUUGCAUCCGUGGAAAUGGUUAAAUAUCAUCACUGUCGGGAUGUACCCCUGCACGCCCUCUAUGACAAUGUGGAGAAACUCUUUCCAGGUUUUGAGAUAGAAACUGUGAAGAACAACCUCAGGAUCCUUUUUAAUAAUGCUGUAAAGAAACGUUUGAUGACAGACAGAAGGAUUGGCUGCCUUUUAUCAGGGGGCUUGGACUCCAGCUUGGUUGCUGCCACUCUGUUGAAGCAGCUGAAAGAAGCCCAAGUACAGUAUCCUCUCCAGACAUUUGCAAUUGGCAUGGAAGACAGCCCCGAUUUACUGGCUGCUAGAAAGGUGGCAGAUCAUAUUGGAAGUGAACAUUAUGAAGUCCUUUUUAACUCUGAGGAAGGCAUUCAGGCUCUGGAUGAAGUCAUAUUUUCCUUGGAAACUUAUGACAUUACAACAGUUCGUGCUUCAGUAGGUAUGUAUUUAAUUUCCAAGUAUAUUCGGAAGAACACAGAUAGCGUGGUGAUCUUCUCUGGAGAAGGAUCAGAUGAACUUACGCAGGGUUACAUAUAUUUUCACAAGGCUCCUUCUCCUGAAAAAGCCGAGGAGGAGAGUGAGAGGCUUCUGAGGGAACUCUAUUUGUUUGAUGUUCUCCGCGCAGAUCGAACUACUGCUGCCCAUGGUCUUGAACUGAGAGUCCCAUUUCUAGAUCAUCGAUUUUCUUCCUAUUACUUGUCUCUGCCACCAGAAAUGAGAAUUCCAAAGAAUGGGAUAGAAAAACAUCUCCUGAGAGAGACGUUUGAGGAUUCCAAUCUGAUACCCAAAGAGAUUCUCUGGCGACCAAAAGAAGCCUUCAGUGAUGGAAUAACUUCAGUUAAGAAUUCCUGGUUUAAGAUUUUACAGGAAUACGUUGAACAUCAGGUUGAUGAUGCAAUGAUGGCAAAUGCAGCCCAGAAAUUUCCCUUCAAUACUCCUAAAACCAAAGAAGGAUAUUACUACCGUCAAGUCUUUGAACGCCAUUACCCAGGCCGGGCUGACUGGCUGAGCCAUUACUGGAUGCCCAAGUGGAUCAAUGCCACUGACCCUUCUGCCCGCACGCUGACCCACUACAAGUCAGCUGUCAAAGCUUAGGUGGUCUUUAUGCUGUAAUGUGAAAGCAAAUAUUUCUUCGUGUUGGAUGGGGACUGUGGGUAGAUAGGGGAACAAUGAGAGUCAACUCAGGCUAACUUGGGUGUGAAAAAAAUAAAAGUCCUAAAUCUAAACCAUUGCUGUAGUCAUUUAUGUUCAUGCAGUCUCUUCAUAAGAGGUAACUAGAACUGUUUUGCUGUAUCACAGUAAAGUGGAGGGUAAGCUAGGAAAAGGGAAAAUGAUCAGAUGUCUGCAAGAACUCACAGCCCUCUCCUGGCAGAGCUGCUUUAGAUGACAUUUGCAUCUUGUGCCCGUGUGGCUUCCUUCCAGUCCUUGCCUCAUCUUAGGGACGUCAUCAAAGGACUACACUAUUUUUGUUCUGCCUACAUUCCUAACAGCUGCCUAGGCAGACUCAGACUUGAAUCUUCUAUAGGAGUUCAUCACAGCUCUAUUUUGCAAGAUAGUAGUUCAUUUUUUUCUCUUUUAUGUUGAGCCAAAGCCACUUCUGGAGACUUGUCCUAGAGCAGGGGUCAGGCUUUUUUUGAAUUUUUAAUUUGUUUUUAAUAAAGAGCCA